CAGCAGCCACGGUAAUACAGAGGGUGCGAGCGUUAAUCGGAUUUACUGGGUGUAAAGCGUGCGUAGGCGGCUUCUUAAGUCGGAUGUGAAAUCCCUGAGCUUAACUUAGGAAUUGCAUUCGAUACUGGGAAGCUAGAGUAUGGGAGAGGAUGGUAGAAUUACAGGUGUAGCGGUGAAAUGCGUAGAGAUCUGGAGGAAUACCGAUGGCGAAGGCAGCCAUCUGGCCUAAUACUGACGCUGAGGUACGAAAGCAUGGGGAGCAAACAGGAUUAGAUACCCCAGUAGUCCCUGUCUCUUAUAC
RNAcentral lists this ribosomal RNA (301 nucleotides) under uncultured bacterium. RNAcentral describes it as "partial 16S ribosomal RNA". It matches the Rfam family "Bacterial small subunit ribosomal RNA", at positions 509 to 807 of the family's 1533-position model. The record is from RNAcentral.